CCUACGGGAGGCAGCAGUGGGGAAUUGUUCGCAAUGGGCGCAAGCCUGACGACGCAACGCCGCGUGGAGGAUGAAGACCUUCGGGUCGUAAACUCCUUUCGAUCGAGACGAAUUUCCCUGGGGUGAACAAUCCCGGGGAGUGACGGUACCGAGAGAAGAAGCCCCGGCUAACUCCGUGCCAGCAGCCGCGGUAAUACGGGGGGGGCAAGCGUUGUUCGGAAUUACUGGGCGUAAAGGGCUCGUAGGUGGCCAACUAAGUCAGACGUGAAAUCCCUCGGCUUAACCGGGGAACUGCGUCUGAUACUGGAUGGCUUGAGUCCGGGAGAGGGAUGCGGAAUUCCAGGUGUAGCGGUGAAAUGCGUAGAUAUCUGGAGGAACACCGGUGGCGAAGGCGGCAUCCUGGACCGGCACUGACACUGAGGAGCGAAAGCCAGGGGAGCAAACGGGAUUAGAUACCCUAGUAGUC
Molecule: ribosomal RNA, 466 nt
Filed under: uncultured bacterium
Lineage: Bacteria
Description: bacterial SSU rRNA
Rfam family: Bacterial small subunit ribosomal RNA
Source: RNAcentral